UGGGGAAUAUUGCACAAUGGGCGCAAGCCUGAUGCAGCCAUGCCGCGUGUGUGAAGAAGGCCUUCGGGUUGUAAAGCACUUUCAGCGGGGAGGAAGGCGAUAAGGUUAAUAACCUUGUCGAUUGACGUUACCCGCAGAAGAAGCACCGGCUAACUCCGUGCCAGCAGCCGCGGUAAUACGGAGGGUGCAAGCGUUAAUCGGAAUUACUGGGCGUAAAGCGCACGCAGGCGGUUGAUUGAGUCAGAUGUGAAAUCCCCGGGCUUAACCCGGGAAUUGCAUCUGAUACUGGUCAGCUAGGGUCUUGUAGAGGGGGGUAGAAUUCCAUGUGUAGCGAUGAAAUGCGUAGAGAUGUGGAGGAAUACCGGUGGCGAAGGCGGCCCCCUGGACAAAGACUGACGCUCAGGUGCGAAAGCGUGGGGAGCAAACAGG
RNAcentral lists this ribosomal RNA (429 nucleotides) under Chloroflexota bacterium. RNAcentral's name for it is "Chloroflexi bacterium partial 16S ribosomal RNA". It matches the Rfam family "Bacterial small subunit ribosomal RNA", at positions 355 to 776 of the family's 1533-position model. The record is from RNAcentral. Lineage: Bacteria; Bacillati; Chloroflexota.